This 253-nucleotide ribosomal RNA is filed under the name uncultured bacterium. Its description in RNAcentral is "partial 16S ribosomal RNA". It matches the Rfam family "Bacterial small subunit ribosomal RNA", at positions 524 to 776 of the family's 1533-position model. The record is from RNAcentral.
UACGGAGGGUGCAAGCGUUAUCCGGACUCACUGGGUUUAAAGGGUGCGUAGGAGGGCAGGUAAGUCAGUGGUGAAAUCUCCAAGCUUAACUUGGAAACUGCCGUUGAUACUAUCUGUCUUGAAUAUUGUGGAGGUGAGCGGAAUAUGUCAUGUAGCGGUGAAAUGCUUAGAUAUGACAUAGAACACCAAUUGCGAAGGCAGCUUGCUACACUGUUAUUGACACUGAGGCACGAAAGCGUGGGGAUCAAACAGG